AAUUGAAACUCCAUCCUUAGAAGCACUGCUGAAGUUAUGACUGCAUGACAUGCAACACUAAAAUUGAAGGUGAAGUUUUAUACUAUGGCUACACAACAAUUCUGCUUUAUUGAGCAAAAUGUUGGGUGAGACAAUAAAC
Telopea speciosissima is the source of this 139-nucleotide long non-coding RNA. RefSeq lists it as uncharacterized. The record is from RefSeq and is a predicted model, not a curated record. The transcript is spliced from 3 exons. NCBI's taxonomy places the organism in Eukaryota, Viridiplantae, Streptophyta, Magnoliopsida, Proteales, Proteaceae.